GACGAACGCUGGCGGCGUGCUUAACACAUGCAAGUCGAACGGAAAGGCCUGUCCUUCCUUGUGUUGGACGGGUACUCGAGUGGCGAACGGGUGAGUAACACGUGAGUGAUCUGCCCCCAACUUGGGUAUAAGCCUGGGAAACUGGGUCUAAUUCCCGAUAGGACUGCAGGGUGGUGCCUGUGGUGGAAAACGAUUUUCUAGUGGUUGGGGAUGAGCUCGCGGCCUAUCAGCUUGUUGGUGGGGUAAUGGCCUACCAAGGCGGCGACGGGUAGCCGGCCUGAGAGGGUGGACGGCCACAUUGGGACUGAGAUACGGCCCAGACUCCUACGGGAGGCAGCAGUGGGGAAUAUUGCACAAUGGGCGGAAGCCUGAUGCAGCGACGCCGCGUGGGGGAUGACGGCCUUCGGGUUGUAACCUCCUUUCGACCGCGAGGAAGCCGCCUGGUUGGAAGGGUGGUGACGGUAGUGGUAGAAGAAGCACUGGCUAACUACGUG
RNAcentral lists this ribosomal RNA (494 nucleotides) under uncultured bacterium. RNAcentral describes it as "partial 16S ribosomal RNA". It matches the Rfam family "Bacterial small subunit ribosomal RNA", at positions 28 to 507 of the family's 1533-position model. The record is from RNAcentral.